CUGCUGCUAACAUUUCAGAAGCAAGUAAAAAGUGUCCUUCCACUUUCUGUCUAUCUGACUGGCAGCCAAGAUUGAAUAGAUGAAUAUGGGG
Molecule: small nucleolar RNA, 91 nt
Filed under: Microcebus murinus (gray mouse lemur)
Lineage: Eukaryota; Metazoa; Chordata; Mammalia; Primates; Cheirogaleidae
Description: Small nucleolar RNA SNORA31 (ENSMICG00000025617.3)
Source: RNAcentral